UUUCAAAUUGUUUAUAUUAUUUUGACAUUAUUAAAAUUUAAUAUAGAUGUAGAUAUAUUUUUUAAAUGCUUAAAAAUUUUGUUAAUUAUAUGUCAUAAAUAUUUUCAGUAUUUUUUAGGUGAAAUUAAUUAUUUCUUAUUAAUAUUAAUUCAAUACUUAUCUUUAAAAAAACCAUUUUCAAAGAUGUAUAUUAUUUUUAAUUUUUUUUUUUAUCUUUUUGAUAAUGCAUCAUGCGUUUAUCAUUUAUAUAAAUAUUUUUAUUAUGAUUGUAAUUAUAAUAAACUUAUUUCAUCAUUUGAUAAAGAANNNNNNNNNNUUUUUUUAACGCUUGUCAGAAAUUAAUAUUUAUGAGUACUUAUUUAAAAAUUAAUAUUUGUACUAGUGCAUGUUUACACACGCUAACAAAAUGCAGUAGUAUAUUUACCCUAGAGACUUCUCCAUUUUUUUUUAAUAUACUAAAAAAUUUUGAAAAGAAGAAAAAAAGUGAAAGCACAAAUACAACACUUUUUAAAAAAAAUUCAAAUGGAAAAAAAAGCGAUGUAUCAAAAAACGGCUUAAAUAACUUAAACAGUUUAAAUAGCGCAAAGACCUUAAAUAGGGCAAACAGUUUAAACAGUGUAAAUAGUGUAAAUAGCGUAACUAGCGUAACUAGCGUAAAUAGCAUAAAUAGCAUAAAUAGCUUAAACAGCUUAAACAGCGUAAAUAGUAAAAGUAGUGUUAUUUUAAAAAAAAAUAAUCCAUAUAAUACUCAAAAUGGUGACGAUAGCUACAAAAAUAAAACUAAUGUACAUAAUCUUAAUAGCGAUUAUAUAGAUACGAAAAAAACAGAAAUAGGUGCCACACAUGACAUAAAAAACGAAUUGAAUGAUAAACAUACCAACUUAGAUAAUGGAAAAAGGGUUUUUGGAUAUGCUAACAAUAGGCAUAAAAAUAGUGACAUAAUACAGUAUAAUACGAAUAACUACUCUUAUGAUAAUGUCAAACAGGACAUGGAUCAUAAAAAUCACUCAAAUAAUAUUCAAAAACGUAAUAAUAAUAUUAAUAAUAGUAAUAAUAUUAAUAAUAGUAAUAAUAAUAAUAAUAAUAGUAAUAGUAAUAGUAAUAAUAGUAAUAAUAGUAAUAAUAG
Molecule: long non-coding RNA, 1126 nt
Filed under: Piliocolobus tephrosceles (Ugandan red Colobus)
Lineage: Eukaryota; Metazoa; Chordata; Mammalia; Primates; Cercopithecidae
Description: lncRNA (ENSPTEG00000015320.1)
Source: RNAcentral